RNAcentral lists this ribosomal RNA (301 nucleotides) under uncultured archaeon. Its description in RNAcentral is "bacterial SSU rRNA". It matches the Rfam family "Archaeal small subunit ribosomal RNA", at positions 455 to 755 of the family's 1478-position model. The record is from RNAcentral.
GUGGCAGCCGCCGCGGUAACACCGGCGGCCCGAGUGGUAACCGAUUUUAUUGGGUUUAAAGGGUCCGUAGCCGGCCUAUUAAGUCUCUUGGGAAAUCUGGCGGCUUAAUCGUCAGACGUUCAAGAGAUACUGAUGGGCUUGGGACCGGUGGGGGUGGGAGGUACUCCAGGGGUAGAGUGGAAAUUUUGUAAUUCUUGAGGGACCAUCGAGGGCGAAGGGAUCCCACUAGAACGGGUCCGACGGUGAGGGGCGAAAGGUGGGGGCACGAACCGGAUUAAAUACCCGGGUAGCCCCGGCGGUA